CACGAACUGUGCGAACGUUAUUCGGAAUCACUGGGCUUACAGGGUGCGUAGGCGGCCUGCUAAGUAGGGUGUGAAAGCCCCCGGCUCAACCGGGGAAUGGCGCCCUAAACUGGCGGGCUGGAGUGAGAUAGGGGUGUGCGGAACUUCCGGUGGAGCGGUGAAAUGUGUUGAUAUCGGAAGGAACGCCGGUGGCGAAAGCGGCACACUGGAUCUCAACUGACGCUGAGGCACGAAAGCCAGGGGAGCGAACGGG
This 253-nucleotide ribosomal RNA is filed under the name uncultured bacterium. Its description in RNAcentral is "partial 16S ribosomal RNA". It matches the Rfam family "Bacterial small subunit ribosomal RNA", at positions 524 to 776 of the family's 1533-position model. The record is from RNAcentral.